RNAcentral lists this ribosomal RNA (465 nucleotides) under Vreelandella stevensii. RNAcentral describes it as "partial 16S ribosomal RNA". It matches the Rfam family "Bacterial small subunit ribosomal RNA", at positions 338 to 795 of the family's 1533-position model. Lineage: Bacteria; Pseudomonadati; Pseudomonadota; Gammaproteobacteria; Oceanospirillales; Halomonadaceae. The record is from RNAcentral.
CCUACGGGAGGCUGCAGUGGGGAAUAUUGGACAAUGGGCGAAAGCCUGAUCCAGCCAUGCCGCGUGUGUGAAGAAGGCCUUCGGGUUGUAAAGCACUUUCAGUGGGGAAGAAAGCCUUGGGGCUAAUACCCUCGAGGAAGGACAUCACCCACAGAAGAAGCACCGGCUAACUCCGUGCCAGCAGCCGCGGUAAUACGGAGGGUGCGAGCGUUAAUCGGAAUUACUGGGCGUAAGGCGCGCGUAGGCGGUCUGAUAAGCCGGUUGUGAAAGCCCCGGGCUCAACCUGGGAACGGCAUCCGGAACUGUCAGGCUAGAGUGCAGGAGAGGAAGGUAGAAUUCCCGGUGUAGCGGUGAAAUGCGUAGAGAUCGGGAGGAAUACCAGUGGCGAAGGCGGCCUUCUGGACUGACACUGACGCUGAGGUGCGAAAGCGUGGGUAGCAAACAGGAUUAGAUACCCCAGUAGUC